This 27-nucleotide non-coding RNA is filed under the name Bombyx mori (domestic silkworm). RNAcentral also lists the same sequence under 1 other name. Lineage: Eukaryota; Metazoa; Arthropoda; Insecta; Lepidoptera; Bombycidae. The record is from RNAcentral.
UAUCACUUAGGGAGAAGGGUAUAGGGC